GACGAACGCUGGCGGCGUGCCUAAUACAUGCAAGUAGAACGCUGAAGGAGUAGCUUGCUCUUCUGGAUGAGUUGCGAACGGGUGAGUAACGCGUAGGUAACCUGCCUUUUAUCGGGGGAUAACUAUUGGAAACGAUAGCUAAUACCGCAUAACAGUAGAUGUUGCAUGACAUUUACUUAAAAUUUGCAAUUUCAUCACUACCAGAUGGACCUUCGUUGUAUUAGCUAGUUGGUGUGGUAACGGCUCAACAAGGCGACGAUACAUAGCCGACCUGAGAGGGUGAUCGGACAAACGGGGAAGGAGACAAGGCACAGAAUCAUACGGGAGGGAGCAGUAGGGAAUCAUCGGAAAUGGAAGGAAGUGUGACCGAGAAAAGCCGAGUGAGUGAAGAAGGUAUUCGGAUCGUAAAGCUCGGUUGUAAGAGAAGAACGAGUGUGAGAGUGGAAAGAACACAGUGUGACGGUAACUGACCAGAAAGGGACGGCUAACUACGUG
Molecule: ribosomal RNA, 495 nt
Filed under: uncultured bacterium
Lineage: Bacteria
Description: partial 16S ribosomal RNA
Rfam family: Bacterial small subunit ribosomal RNA
Source: RNAcentral